This 224-nucleotide long non-coding RNA is filed under the name Elaeis guineensis (African oil palm). Its description in RNAcentral is "long non-coding RNA (EGUI_LNC072498)". The record is from RNAcentral. Lineage: Eukaryota; Viridiplantae; Streptophyta; Magnoliopsida; Arecales; Arecaceae.
AAGAGAUCUUCAAUCAACGAUCAUCCUCUUCUCAAGUGUUCAUUCAAGCAUUCAUCCACCUUGAGAAAAUCCAAAAAGGGUUUCUUCAUUUGAGUAAAGUUUUUAUUGUUAUAUUCGCUCAUUUAAGGAGCUGUUAUUGUAUUAAUCUGUGCUCUAAAUUAUCUUACUCUUGUAAGUAAUUAUUCUUGUUUUUGGAGGAUUUCCAAAACAAGGAAAGGUUGAUC